UGCAGAUGGUCCUGUGGUUUCACUUCCUAUUUGGUUUCUGAACUCUCUGAGCACGAGACUUGGAGACGUGGAGUCCUUUCACUGCAGCUUUCAAAACCUUUCUUAGGGCUGAUAUGACAAUUGCUGGCACUGCGUAAUUGCUGUGUGGCUACUUGAAAACUUCUCCACUAGAGACUCACUGAGAGCACCUAUUCUGUUGAAUGGAUUUGGCACAAGGAGGAGGAGAGAAGACAAAUGGCCUGGGCUGGUAAGAGACAAAAGUGCCGUGUGUGAGUCUUGGCCCACCUACCUGCUGUGAGACUCUGGGCAAAUCACCUGGUCCCUCUCUUCCCACAUCUUCUGAUGAGCCUUGCUGCCUAUUUCCUGAGUAGCUCAGUGGCCACCAGAGACCCCAGGCUCUUUAUCAACAUUUCAAGAUUGUGUAAGUUCUGGCAUUUUGUACAUUAUCAAAAAGAGAAGGCUAAGACCUAAGUCAGGCUAAAUUUGAUUCAGGAAAACACCUGACGUUUUUGUACUUAAGUAUCGAGGGGUAAAUCACAUCUUUUGCACCUGAAUCCGUAAGAACUGUGGCCUAACCCUCUUCUUCUGGAGAACUCACUUUCCUGUCUUUCUGAGACUCCAGCUAGAUAGUCCUUUGGCAGAUGUUGACCCCAUACUACCUUCUCCGUGGGCAACAUCUGAGUGCAUGGUCUACCUUAGUGAAGGACCUCUCCUUGCCCCUGAAGCACUUCUAUCAUCCUGGACCUCAACGUGGAAUGGUGACCCCUACCUGCCCCACCAGUCACGACCACCUUCUUCCAGCACCUCCAAUGUGUCUGCCCUCCAGCACCACCUGCUCCCAACGUAAGACUGCUGGGAUUAGCCCAGAGACCAUGUCCCAACAAAAUGCCACCAGGAACUCAUGUGGGACGGAGCUGGAAGAUGCCAGCGGUUGCCCCUUCCCCAUGUUAGUGCCUCUUUUCUCCGCACCAACCCUCAGUUCACACCAGAAUGAGACUGCCUGCAUUCACUUUCUGCUCUUACUUCAGAGAAUGUGGCUUAUUCUCAGGCAAUGAACCAGAGGACAACAGACAUUUUCUUUGAGGGAAAUGCAACUUUUUGAAAUUAAAAGGGCAUUUUGUUUUAAUUGAAGAACAUUCAGAUCAGAAACUGGGUUAAAAAUAAACACUGCAGAGCCAGACACAGUGGCUCAGGCCUGUAAUCUUAGCAUUUUGGGAGGCCAAGGCAGGUGGAUCACUUGAGGCCAGGAGUUCAAGACCAGCCUGGCCAACAUGGCAAAAGCCAUCUCUACUAAAAAUAUAAAAAUUAGCAGGGCAUGGUGGCAUCGGCCUGUAAUCCCAGCUACCUGGGAGGCCGAGGCAUGAGAAUCGCUUGAACCUGGGAAGCGGAGGUUGCAGUGAGCCGAGAUCAUGCCACCACACUCCAGCCUGGGCAACAGAGCGAGACUCUGUCUCAAAAUAAAAUAAAAUAAAAUAAUAAGUAAACCCUGCAGAAUCUGAGAGAACAGAGCUCUCGAUGUGGGGGUCUGAUCAGUUUUCCAAGCGUCAACAGACUGGUCCUUCCUAGGAUGCGUGUUUCUUCUGCGGUCGUGUUUACACAUUGGUUUCUGGCAAGAGCAAAGUGUUUGCUUGUGACCUUAAAUAAAAUGCAGAC
This 1653-nucleotide long non-coding RNA is filed under the name Homo sapiens (human). Its description in RNAcentral is "HSALNT0048405". The record is from RNAcentral. Lineage: Eukaryota; Metazoa; Chordata; Mammalia; Primates; Hominidae.